This 85-nucleotide transfer RNA is filed under the name Felis catus (domestic cat). It matches the Rfam family "tRNA". From Rfam's summary of the family: Transfer RNA (tRNA) molecules are approximately 80 nucleotides in length. Their secondary structure includes four short double-helical elements and three loops (D, anti-codon, and T loops). Lineage: Eukaryota; Metazoa; Chordata; Mammalia; Carnivora; Felidae. The record is from Rfam by way of RNAcentral.
GCCUGGGUGGCUCAGUCAGUUGAGCAUCUGACUUCAGCUCAGAUCAUGAUCUCACAGUCUGUGAGUUCAAGUUCCGUGUCAGGCU